GUUAAUGGUUUAGGUGUUUAGUGUGAGAUCAGGAGUUAAUGGUUUAGGUGUUUAGUGUGAGGAGUUAAUGGUUUAGGUGUUUAGUGUGAGGAGUUAAUGGUUUAGGUGUUUGGUGUGAGAUCAGGAGUUAAUGCUUUAGGUGUUUGGUGUGAGAUCAGGAGUUAAUGGUUUAGGUGUUUAGUGUGAGGUCAGGAGUUAAUGGUUUAGGUGUUUAGUGUGAGGAGUUAAUGGUUUAGGUGUUUGGUGUGAGAUCAGGAGUUAAUGCUUUAGGUGUUUGGUGUGAGAUCAGGAGUUAAUGGUUUAGGUGUUUAGUGUGAGGUCAGGAGUUAAUGGUUUAGGUGUUUAGUGUGAGGAGUUAAUGGUUUAGGUGUUUGGUGUGAGAUCAGGAGUUAAUGCUUUAGGUGUUUGGUGUGAGAUCAGGAGUUAAUGGUUUAGGUGUUUAGUGUGAGGUCAGGAGUUAAUGGUUUAGGUGUUUAGUGUGAGGAGUUAAUGGUUUAGGUGUUUGGUGUGAGAUCAGGAGUUAAUGCUUUAGGUGUUUGGUGUGAGAUCAGGAGUUAAUGGUUUAGGUGUUUAGUGUGAGGUCAGGAGUUAAUGGUUUAGGUGUUUAGUGUGAGGAGUUAAUGGUUUAGGUGUUUAGUGUGAGGAG
Non-coding RNA from Salmo salar (Atlantic salmon), 646 nucleotides. The record is from RefSeq and is a predicted model, not a curated record. NCBI's taxonomy places the organism in Eukaryota, Metazoa, Chordata, Actinopteri, Salmoniformes, Salmonidae.